This 254-nucleotide ribosomal RNA is filed under the name uncultured bacterium. Its description in RNAcentral is "partial 16S ribosomal RNA". It matches the Rfam family "Bacterial small subunit ribosomal RNA", at positions 524 to 777 of the family's 1533-position model. The record is from RNAcentral.
UACAGAGGUCCCGAGCGUUGUUCGGAUUUAUUGGGCGUAAAGGGUGCGUAGGCGGCGGAGUAAGUUGGGUGUGAAAUCCCGAGGCUCAACCUCGGAAUUGCAUUCAAUACUGCUUCGCUCGAGUACUGGAGAGGAGGCUGGAAUUUACGGUGUAGCAGUGAAAUGCGUAGAUAUCGUAAGGAAGGCCGGUGGCGAAAGCGAGCCUCUGGACAGUUACUGACGCUGAUGCACGAAGGCCAGGGGAGCAAAACGGG